RNAcentral lists this ribosomal RNA (229 nucleotides) under uncultured bacterium. RNAcentral describes it as "partial 16S ribosomal RNA". It matches the Rfam family "Bacterial small subunit ribosomal RNA", at positions 568 to 796 of the family's 1533-position model. The record is from RNAcentral.
UCCGCAGGCGGUCAAUUAAGUCAGAGGUGAAAUACCAUAGCUCAACUAUGGAACUGCCUUUGAUACUGGUUGACUUGAGUCAUAUGGAAGUAGAUAGCAUGUGUAGUGUAGCGGUGAAAUGCAUAGAUAUUACACAGAAUACCGAUUGCGAAGGCAGUCUACUACGUAUGUACUGACGCUGAGGGACGAAAGCGUGGGGAGCGAACAGGAUUAGAUACCCUGGUAGUCC